UGGGAAUAUUGCACAAUGGGCGAAAGCCUGAUGCAGCAACGCCGCGUGAGUGAUGAAGGCCUUCGGGUUGUAAAGCUCUGUCUUUUGGGACGAUAAUGACGGUACCAAAGGAGGAAGCCACGGCUAACUACGUGCCAGCAGCCGCGGUAAUACGUAGGUGGCAAGCGUUGUCCGGAUUUACUGGGCGUAAAGGAUGCGUAGGCGGAUUUUUAAGUGAGAUGUGAAAUACCCGGGCUUAACUUGGGUGCUGCAUUUCAAACUGGGAAUCUAGAGUGCGGGAGAGGAGAAUGGAAUUCCUAGUGUAGCGGUGAAAUGCGUAGAGAUUAGGAAGAACACCAGUGGCGAAGGCGAUUCUCUGGACCGUAACUGACGCUGAGGCAUGAAAGCGUGGGUAGCAAACAGGAUUAGAUACCCUGGUAGUCCACGCCGUAAACGAUGAGUACUAGGUGUAGGAGGUAUCGACCCCUUCUGUGCCGCAGUUAACACAAUAAGUACUCCGCCUGGGAAGUACGAUCGCAAGAUUAAAAACUUAAAGGAAUUGACGGGGUCAUAGCUGUUUCCU
Molecule: ribosomal RNA, 562 nt
Filed under: uncultured bacterium
Lineage: Bacteria
Description: partial 16S ribosomal RNA
Rfam family: Bacterial small subunit ribosomal RNA
Source: RNAcentral